This 1382-nucleotide long non-coding RNA is filed under the name Felis catus (domestic cat). Its description in RNAcentral is "lncRNA (ENSFCAG00000051724.1)". The record is from RNAcentral. Lineage: Eukaryota; Metazoa; Chordata; Mammalia; Carnivora; Felidae.
AGAAUUUUCUCCCCAGUGGACUUCCCCGCACCUACUGAAUAUAUUGUUCCCCAUCCUAAUGGUAGACAGACAUGUGGUGGUCUCCUCGCCAUAUAUUAUGCUUUUGUGGGGUACCAGCCUGGGUUAUAGAAACAGCUGCACAAAUACCUUUCAUACAGAAAAUACAAAGUGCUAAAAAGAGCAAUUUUAUUCUACCAUCUUCAUAUUUUGUCUAAUAUGUCACUGUCAUGAUUUUUUUUAAUAGGAGGAUCAAGCUGAUCAUUCCUCCUUCCUGAUUUUUUCUAUCUGAAGUUCUCUAACAUAUGUAAGCAAAGAAAGAGAUCCGAGAGAAGGAGGCCUCUGCCUGGUCCAGUGGCUGGGGAUUAUUUUAGGAUACGUGGCCACCUCUGUGCUUUCUGCUACCAGCCUUUGGCUUAGAAUGCUGGUAAACCACACUCCAUCCUACCUACACUCCCUCUCAUCCUUGUAUCCUAAAGAGAGAACUUGGGUGACACAGUUGCCAUUUGGAGAGAAGAAGAAUGGAUUUCCUCGGCUGACGGUACCACUAAGCUAUAUUAAAUGGUAUGGAGGCAAUGUCGCCGAAAGGAAGCCAGUUCUAGUAUCCAGACAAGAAGGAACUGGUGUCACAAAGCCGACUGGCAACACGGCUGUGUGCCAUUUUGACGUUUGUGAACGAACAACAGAGGUGCCUCUAAUAGCUGUGCAAUAGUGCCGCGGGUUUCUGGCUUGCAGAUUCCAUUUGCACAAAGGAUGUCAGAACUGCUCUCAAGCGCCAGUUGCCUUUCAGAAGAAGGAACAACUUAACAGAUCCUGAGAUGCUAAGACUGGGUCCGAGCCAGAAAUACUAAGUGCUGAACAUUAACAUUUGGCCAGUGACCAUGAAGUCUCCUGUAUGAAGUCAUAUAUCUCUUCUUAAACGAGAGAGUGUCCUUCCCAAUCAACUUGAAAAACAACCCCAACACACCCAUUAUUUAAUGUGCUUUUGUAAAUAUCUUCUGCUGACGGAAUGUUCUGUUGUAAGGGAAACGACUACCUCUUCAUUCAUCGCUGAGAUCAGUACUAGGAAGCUAAAUAUUUGGGACAUCUCAAUCCUCACAAUUCACAAUUAAGUUAACCUUACAUCUAAAGUAAAUGAUAUAUUUUCUUUAUUAAACUGAAUGAUCACCUGCAUUCAUGAUCAAAGAAUGAAAGAUGGGCACUUUUCAUUACAGUCUAAAAUUUUUCAGUCUGGAAUGAUGACAUUCUGACUUAAAUUAUGCUUAGCCUUCUGAUGGACUUGAUGUACCAAUAUACUGGGUCUUUCAGCUGCACUAAAGACCUAGCCACUGCUUUCUAUAUCAAUGCAUUAAUCACUCAUUUAUUUAUAUCACUUAUUAGAAACC